AGCGAACGCUGGCGGCAGGCUUAACACAUGCAAGUCGAGCGGGCAUCUUCGGAUGUCAGCGGCAGACAGGUGAGUAACACGUGGGAACGUACCCUUCGGUUCGGAACAACUCUGGGAAACUGGAGCUAAUACCGGAUACGCCCUUAUGGGGAAAGGUUUACUGCCGAAGGAUCGGCCCGCGUCUGAUUAGCUAGUUGGUGGGGUAACGGCCUACCAAGGCGACGAUCAGUAGCUGGUCUGAGAGGAUGAUCAGCCACACUGGGACUGAGACACGGCCCAGACUCCUACGGGAGGCAGCAGUGGGGAAUAUUGGACAAUGGGCGCAAGCCUGAUCCAGCCAUGCCGCGUGAGUGAUGAAGGCCUUAGGGUUGUAAAGCUCUUUUGUCCGGGACGAUAAUGACGGUACCGGAAGAAUAAGCCCCGGCUAACUUCGUG
RNAcentral lists this ribosomal RNA (435 nucleotides) under uncultured bacterium. RNAcentral's name for it is "partial 16S ribosomal RNA". It matches the Rfam family "Bacterial small subunit ribosomal RNA", at positions 29 to 507 of the family's 1533-position model. The record is from RNAcentral.